GACGAACGCUGGCGGCGUGCUUAACCCAUGCAAGUCGAACGGAAAGGCCCUGCUUUUGUGGGGUGCUCGGGUGGCGAACGGGUGAGUAACAGGUGAGUAACCUGCCCUGGACUUUGGGUUAACUUAAGGAAACUGGGGCUAUAACCGGUUAGGAGCUCCUGCUGCUUGGUGGGGGUUGGAAAGUUUCGGCGGUUGGGGUUGGACUCGCGGCUUAUCAGCUUGUUGGUGGGGUAGUGGCUUACCAAGGCUUUGACGGGUAGCCGGCCUGAGAGGGUGACCGGCCACAUUGGGACUGAGAUACGGCCCAGACUCCUACGGGAGGCAGCAGUGGGGAAUAUUGCACAAUGGGCGGAAGCCUGAUGCAGCAACGCCGCGUGCGGGAUGACGGCCUUCGGGUUGUAAACCGCUUUCGCCUGUGACGAAGCGUGAGUGACGGUAAUGGGUAAAGAAGCACCGGCUAACUACGUG
Molecule: ribosomal RNA, 468 nt
Filed under: uncultured bacterium
Lineage: Bacteria
Description: partial 16S ribosomal RNA
Rfam family: Bacterial small subunit ribosomal RNA
Source: RNAcentral